This 497-nucleotide ribosomal RNA is filed under the name uncultured bacterium. RNAcentral's name for it is "bacterial SSU rRNA". It matches the Rfam family "Bacterial small subunit ribosomal RNA", at positions 29 to 523 of the family's 1533-position model. The record is from RNAcentral.
AUUAAACGCUGGCGGCAUGCCUUACACAUGCAAGUCGAACGGUAGCGCGGGGCAACCUGGCGACGAGUGGCGAACGGGUGAGUAAAGCAUCGGAACGUGCCCUGGAAUGGGGGAUAACGUAGCGAAAGUUACGCUAAUACCGCAUAUUCUGUGAGCAGGAAAGCAGGGGAUCGCAAGACCUUGCGUUCUGGGAGCGGCCGAUGUCGGAUUAGCUAGUUGGCGGGGUAACGGCCCACCAAGGCAACGACGGGUAGCUGGUCUGAGAGGACGAUCAGCCACACUGGAACUGAGACACGGUCCAGACUCCUACGGGAGGCAGCAGUGGGGAAUUUUGCACAAUGGGCGAAAGCCUGAUGCAGCAACGCCGCGUGUGUGAUGAAGGUUUUCGGAUCGUAAAGCACUUUCGACCGGGACGAAUAAGCUUCACCUAAUACGUGAGGCCCUGACGGUACCGGGAGAAGAAGCACCGGCUAACUCUGUGCCAGCAGCCGCGGUAA